Aethalodelphis obliquidens (Pacific white-sided dolphin) is the source of this 3038-nucleotide long non-coding RNA. RefSeq lists it as uncharacterized. The transcript is spliced from 3 exons. The record is from RefSeq and is a predicted model, not a curated record. NCBI's taxonomy places the organism in Eukaryota, Metazoa, Chordata, Mammalia, Artiodactyla, Delphinidae.
GGGGUGGGGCUUAGGCUUUGUGCAGCAGGAAGGAGACUCUGAGGGUGGAGCAUUAGUCCUGGGAGCCCAAGAGGCUCCCUGGGUGCCCAAGAGGGCAGGGGAAGCACUUGUUGCUCCCUUCCAUUCCUUUGCUCUCCUGAGGGUCUCCCCUGUCACUGCUGAACCCCUAAUGUGGGUGGGCCCCAGUGGGUGUAGAAACUCCUCCCCUCUCAGAGGCACCUGUCCCCUCAGUCUGGUCUUUACUUUUGCUCCCCCUUCCCUCCCUCCCACUCCCUCAAGACCCACAUGGCUGAAGGGGGCCUUGGUGGGCAGAGGGUCAGGCCUGGGAUCUCAGCAGGCUCCCUGGGGCCCAAGUGGGUAGGGGAAAUGCUGGCUGUGCUCCCUUCUGAUCCUCUGCCCUCCCAACAGUCCCCCUUCUUCCCCCUUGGGGCAUGGGAGCCCCUCCCCUACCCCAGCUGCCUCUCAGGGGUGCUGGUUCUGCUCCCCACCACCUCUCCCCCUUCUUCCCCACAAAUCCUAAGCAGUUGCUUAGGACAUCCGAGGGGGUUUUCCUUCAGUCCCUGGAUGACUCCUUGAAUCCUAUUCUAAUUUAUGGGUUUCUUCGCAGCCUAUUGAAUGCCCUGAAGUAUCAAGUCCCUGAACUGUGUGAGGUGCUGCUGACCGUUUUCCUCUUAAUGGUUCCACCCCUAGAGUCCAUGUCAGGAAUGGCCUGGAUUCAAGUCUGGUAUAGAGUGUGUCCUGCAUUAUUUUGGUCUUAUCAGCUUCCUCCUUUGCAUCAGUUAUAAUCAGUGCCUUUUCUUCCCCAGAGACUAAGAUGUUCAGGAGGGUUUGGACACCCACCCAAGUGGGGAAAGGACUGUGGAAUAUUCCUCAGACUAAAUUGGGCAGGGAGGCCAAAUGCCCCUUUGGUGUGUGUCCAGUUCUCCAUUUGCUCAGCUACAAGGACCCAAGGACUUUGGACGAUUUGGGGGUCCUUUUCUUGUUUUCCCAGUAGGCAAGGUGAUUUUCCUGAAAUCUGGCAGAAACAUUUGUAAAGAGUUUGUGUCUGAGAAGGGAUCCCUAGGGAUCUGCAGUGGAGGGUAGUGGGGAGAGACCUGUCCAACAGAGACAUGUACCCUGCCCCGGGAUGGCAAAUUGGGAUACAACAGACCAACACAAAGGAUGUGCUCUAGGAUGUGCUCUUGGGUUUUUGAUUACAGCCUGAAGGUGGGAAUGCACCAGGGGUUCUGGAGGCUGUGCGCAUUCACAGUUGCCUACUUACAUUUUUUUCAGUCAGCAGGAUGCCUAGUGCUCAUCUACCCUGCUCUGUGACAGACUUAUCCUUUCGUGGAAGUCUUCCAGUGGUGGAUAUCUGAGCAGACACGGGUCUGUGCCUGAUCUGGAAGCCGAAGGUCUAGCAGGCAGGAGAAGCAGCGAUAAGAUAAAGGCCUGGCAGGGCUCUGAUACAUCCGGGCCAGGCUGGCUGCUGGUCACUGUCAUUGCAGAGCCCCACCCCACAGAGCCACGAGGAGCUUGUUGAUGGCGACACUUAAUCCAUCUCCCCAAGUGAGGGGCCACUGCACCACACUGCCAACGAGGGCCAACGCAGCAUCCUGGUGAGUGUGUCCAUGGAGGGUUCUCCAGAACCAGGGCCCAGAGAUGAAUGGGAAAGGCCUCCUGCCCGCAUACCACCCAAGCCAUUCUCCAGGGUCCCUUCCUGGGCUUAUGUGCAGCUCAGCACAUCCAGCUCUGACCUGGAACACUAUGUCAACCUUCCCCUGAGUCAGCUGGAGGACCUGGAGCCCACCAAGGCAGAGACCAAAGCUCCAGCCAGAGACCCAGAGCCAGGUCAAAAUUCACCACCCCUGCAGGGAGAGCAUGCACCAGCUCUUGCAGGAGACCUAAAGCCAUUUCAGAAACCACCACACACCCAGGCAGAGCUGGCUCUGCAACCACCACUGCUGUCAACUCCCGAUCUACACCAUCAACCCACUCCCCCACCCAAAAUUUACUUUCCUUCCCCUGUAGUUGUUUGCGUUUGUGUGGUUUGUAAUUUUAUUUUUUUUCCCCACAUUUAUGGCAUCCCGUCCUUUAUGUUUUACGUGUGAAAUAAUAAAAUUUAAACUUUUUCUAUUUUAAAUUGUGAAAUUAAGUAUUCACAACGCUGUGCAAAUAUCACCACUGAAUAGUUUCAAACUAUUUAAUUCCCCCCAAAUAACACCCUGUAUCCAAAGCACGCACUCCCCAUUCCUCCCUCCCCCAGCCUCUCACAACCCCUAAUCCUCUUCCUUUACCUGUUUCUUUACCUAUUCUAGAUGUUUCCUAUAAAUGAAACUAUACAAAAGGUGACUUUUUGUGUCUGCCCACAUAUUUUAAGAGGGGACUGGUGAAUUUUUAUUUUUUUAAAAUUUGAAAUAGCAUUUUUGUUAUUUGAAAGGGAAAUCCAGAUGGAUUAAAGAUGAGAGGUAUAAAACGAAGCCCUUUUAGUAAAUAUAUGCAGAAUCUCGGGGUAGACACUCUUCUAAGUGUGACACCUAAGCCAGAAGAUAGGAGGGAAAUGCUUAGCUCCUCCUGUGGCAUUAGUCUAAAACCAUGGAUUUUUACGACCCAACAAGUAAGUAACAUAUUCAAAUAUAGUUAUUUAUGAUAUGGGAGUGUCAUAGGGUAGAACAGAGAAUGUGAAAAAUAAUCUGAUUUAGAAAUGUAUGAAAAAAACUCAACUGUUAUUGGGCAAAAGGUACUUGACCUAGUUAGCUACAGAAAAGAAUGGAAUCUGUAGAACAAAGGCAAACUGUGCCAUACCUAAAUACUGGACUCUGUAAGUUCUUUCCAUGGUGUUAGUGGCUAACAGUACUGAAACUACUAUAUCUGUACUAAGCUGGAACGGAGCAAGCAAUAAAUUCAAUGAAUGACAAAUGUUGGAAGCCAGGUUUCUUACCGUUGGAGUGGAAAGUUACAGAUAAGCAAAGGCAGAUGGUUACAAUACUCAUGUAAUAAUGGACAGAUUACAUUUCCUCAACUUUAAAAAAUUUUGUGCAUCAGAAGGUGCUAUCAGGGCU